Molecule: ribosomal RNA, 876 nt
Filed under: Pleurotheciella guttulata
Lineage: Eukaryota; Fungi; Ascomycota; Sordariomycetes; Pleurotheciales; Pleurotheciaceae
Description: LSU rRNA
Rfam family: Eukaryotic large subunit ribosomal RNA
Source: RNAcentral
UUUGAAAUCUGACUCUCGGGUCCGACUUGUAAUCUGCAGAUGAGUCUUUUGGCGGAGCGCCGUCCAAGUUCCCUGGAACGGGACGCCGGAGAGGGUGAGAGCCCCGUACCGACGUGCGCCGAGUCUUUGCAAAGCUCAUUCGAAGAGUCGAGUAGUUUGGAAAUGCUGCUCUAAUUGUGGGGUAAAUCUCCCAUAAGGCUAAAUAUUGGCCAGAGACCGAUAGCGCACAAGUAGCGUGAGCGAAAGAUGAAAAGAGCCUUGAACAAGGGCGUCAAAAAGCAUGUGAAAUUGUUAUGGGGGAAGCGCUCAAUGCCAGACGUGGCGGCGGUUGGUUACCCGGUGUUCUUCGCCGGCGCACUCUGCCGUCUGCCAGGCCAGCAUCAGUUCGGUCCGGGGCUUACUUCCGUUCGGAAUGUGGCUCUUCGGAGUGUUAUAGCCCUGCGGCGACGCCCUGGGCCGGACUGAGGAACGCGCAUCUGCCCGGAUGCUGGCGUAAUGGCUUUUAGCGACCCGUCUUGAAACACGGACCAAGGAGUUGACCUAGUAUGCGAGUGUUUGGGUGUAAAGCCCUCACGCGUAGUGAAAGCGAACGCAGGUGGGAGCUUCGGCGCACCAUCGACCGAUCCUGAAGUUUACGGACGGAUUUGAGUAGGAGCAUGCUGGGUCUGACCCGAAAGAAGGUGAACUAUGCAUGAAUAGGGUGAAGCCAGAGGAAACUCUGGUGGAGGCUCGCAGCGGUUCUGACGUGCAAAUCGAUCGUCAAAUUUGUGCAUGGGGGCGAAAGACCAAUCGAACCUUCUAGUAGCUGGUUCCUGCCGAAGUUCCCUCAGGAUAGCAGAGUUGAUCCUCAGUUUCAUGAGGUAAAGCGAAUGAUUA